GCUGGGUGCAGUGGCGCAUGCCUGUAAUCCCAGCGACUCUAGAGGCUGAGGUAGGAGGAUCAUGAGUUCAAAGCCAGCCUCAGCAAUGGUGAGACGCUAAGCAACUCAGUGAGACCCUGUCUCUA
This 125-nucleotide small RNA is filed under the name Marmota monax (woodchuck). Lineage: Eukaryota; Metazoa; Chordata; Mammalia; Rodentia; Sciuridae. The record is from RNAcentral.